AUUUGCUAAUCAUGCUAGCGACAUGGCUAGUCAUUUUGCUAAUUAUUCUAGUGACAUGCUAGAUACCUUGCUAAUCAUGCUAAGUACAUGCUUGUCACAUGGUAGUCACUUGCUUGUAAUGCUAGCAAUAUGUUAAUCACUGUCAUUUUUAUACUUAAACUUUUAAAUCUUUUUAAACUUUUUAAACUUUUCACAUUUUCAAACUUUUCAAACUUUCUGGUCAGGCUUUCUCAAGCCAACUUAAAGUUUGUCUUGACGAACUUUUUUAUCUAGUUAUUAUUAUUAUUUUUUUAUUAAACCUUCCGGGGGUUUUUGGGGGCCUUAACAUGCUCAAAAACUCUUGAAAAUUGGCACAUACAUUGGAAUCUGCGGCCAUCAGGACGCCACAGAGACUGGGACCCGGGUGGGGCACAGGGGCUCUACAGCCAUCUUGAACCAUAGCUCACACACACUUGCAUGUAUUUAUAUGAAACUCAGUACACUUAUAUAUCUCAUUGAGCGGAACAACUUUCGCGCUCUAUGUUAUAGGCUCCACCCAACAGGAAGUCAGCUAUUCAGGGCUGUUUAAAAAAAGCAUGCUCUGGAAUUUGAUAUACUUGUCAUAGGUUUUUUACUUGAUUGCCACCAAACUCGGUCAACAUGAUCUCAAGACAUUGGGGAUGAAAAAUUGUGAGGGGAUUUUUGAUAUAUCGAACGGUUUGCCCGUGGCGUGGCGUUGAAAUUAGGGCAAUAAAUGAGAAACAGGAAAUGCCUAAUAACAUCCACAUACAUUGCCUGAGUUUGAUCAAACUUCAUCGGUUUGUUCGUUGUAUGAUACCAAUCGUAUAUAUGUGACUAUUAAGAGUCAAUGUUAUAGCGCCACCAACUGGCAGCAGGAAUUGAGUCAUUUUCAGAAUGCUUUGAAUUCAGCAUCUUAUUUUUACUCGAUUUGCUUCAAACUUCAUCAGAAUAAUGACAAAACAUGGCCGAUGUAAAUCUGUUGUGGGGAUGUUGAUAUCUUAUAUAUUGUUGCCAUGGCAACGUGUCAAACUUGAAUAUUCUGUUAUGGUGAUUUUGAGGCAGAUAACAACCUCAGAUUUACAUGAAACUCAAAACACAUCAGUAUUAUUGAUAGCUAGACAAUGGAAAAACCUUUUAAAAGGGUGUGGAAAAGGCACUCUAUGGUGCCACCUUUUGUCAAAAGUGGGGGGGUUAGUUUUAGCUACAGACACCAAACUCGAUACGUAUAUUGUUCUUUUCAAGACGGACAACUUUCUAAUUCACAGUCAUUAGCUACGACCAACAGGAAGUCAGCUAUUUUGAUUUGAAUAUGGAUUUUUUUUUAAUUGAGCUGUGAUUUAAUGCAUACUCCUCAGAGGAAAAGUUCACUAUACUCACCAAACUUUGUCUACAUGUUGCAAAAACAUUGAGGAACUUAAAUUGCGAACGGAUUUUGGUUAGCUUGAACGGUUUUGUCGUGGUGAUUUUUUGAAAUGACAGUGAAAAGGGAAUCAUUAAUUGUCUUGUAUUUUUAAAUGGCAGCUUCCAAACACUUAAAAACAUUUUUUCAUACAGAGAUCAAAUCAUUCUGAGGACAUAUGCAUAGUUUCAUGACUUUACAACACUGUAUGAUUAAAAGAAAAUUAAAAAACUGUCAGACAUCUCAACUCACUCUGUCCCUCUGUUUGAGGAAUGUAUGUGCGCUGACUGAGUGUGUGUGUGUGUGUGUGUGUGAGUGGGGGAUGGGCAUGAGCUGAGUGGCAGACAGACAGAGAGAGAGAGAGAGAGAGAGAGACUUAAACAUCUCUUUAAUCACCAGAAAAAAAACUGUAUUUUAAAUUGUUAUUUUUUGUUGUUGUUGCUAAUUGUGCUGUUUUCAUUACAGCUUAAGAAAUCUCUUAGGCCUUAUCCUUUUCUGACAGUUUCAGGAUAAAAAUAAAAAAAAUUCUAAAAAUACUUAUUUGUGCUGCAAAUAAUAAUUUCAAACUCAUUUGAUACUGACCUCUGACACCCUGUGACAUGACAUUUAUCUUAAUUUACAUAAUCUCAUUGAUGUAACAGUAAAACUGUUCAGCUCACAGAUGACGACUAAGCUGUAACGCAAGCAAAACUAUUUCACAAAUGCUUAUAGGUCAAUAAAAUCAUAACAAAGCACUUUUAAAUUAUUUAAGGAUUUGGUAACACUUUAAAAAAAUGUCUCAUUUGUUAACAUUAGCAAAUGCAUUGGUAACACUUCAUAAUAGCUGCACUCAUUAGCUAAGCAUUAGUAAAGAGUCAGUUCAUGCUUUAUAUAGCCUUCUCCCAAAAUUAAUAGUCAUUAAUUAGCAUUUUAUAAAUACAACUAUAAUUAAAUUGUUCAUGGUUUAUAUGCACAUUUAUUUUGAGGAGAUUAAAGGCUGUAAUCUUCCUAAAAAAAUAAAAAAAUAAAAAAAUAAACAAACACAGAACUAAGAAAUAUUUAUUUCAAGAUGCAAUAAAAGAAAACUGCACACUUUAAUUUAUAUAUAUAUAAAAUUGCAUACGUUUAUAUUAAAAUUUUUUAUCAAGUGUACAGCUGUACGGUUUCAUUUCUGCAUCUUGAAAACAUAUUUCUGUGUUCUUUAUCCCUCUGUGUUGUGUUUAACUUUUCAGUUUGGAAGAUCAAUGAUUCUUUAAAUCUCCUUUGUGAAUGCUUUAAAUGUAUAAAUAGUCCUCACGUUAGAUGAGCUCACAAAAAUAGAUAGCUGGCAAUUACUAAAUGUUUUAUAAAAACCUGACUUUAUCAUGAAUUACAGCUGGAAUAUGUCAAUAAAGCAGUUAUUAACAAACUGACCAACUAUUAUCAUGUGUCUAAGUAAUAAGAUUUAUAUAUUUACACUAAAAUAGUUUAUUAAUCAUUUAAUUUCACUUUCUUACAACAAACAAAUUGUUUGGACUACAACAACCAUUUUCCGGUAUUUGUGAUAUCACAAAUAUUGACGAAUGGGAUGUGAAAAAACUCCUUAUAUUCAGGUGUGCAGAAUUAUAAGGCACUUUUUCCUUUACUGAUAAAAUGAGCCAAAAAAAGACAUUUCACUCAGACUGAAAAAAACUAAAUUAUUAGAUCCUCAUGAGAAAUAUUCAAAAUUAGAUCACUACAUUAAUUGCAAAAGUAAAGACAUGACCACUGGACAGCAAAAUGCUUACUGGGUCAGAAGGGUCAGAAAAAAACAGGUGGAGAAGAACAGAAACAAGUAAACUGCAAAAGAAUUAAGAAUUAAAGUGAAGAAUUAGGUGCGAAACAAUCAGGGAGCAUUUAGUCUACAGUGCCACCAUUUUCCAGAACUGCAACUUUCCUGGAGUCUACGAAUUGUAAUGUGUCAGGUUCUGAGAGAUGUAAAAAGAUCCCAAAUCAAUCAUUUAAUCAAAUUAAAUGACUUAAUUAGAAUAGCACAACAUAUUGUGUUAUACUAUUUUAAGAUUUUAUAUAUAGGCUUUAUGAACAGGUUUUGAGUUAUUCUUGAAGGACUAGCAUCACCUCCUCUUGUACAACGGUUUGAGGAAUAUAUCUUCCAGAUAGUACCGCUGCUCUCUAUUUGCAGAGUAUGCAGUCUCUGUAGGGCACCAACUCCCAGAGGGGGCACCAUUCCAGUAGCUCAAAAAAAAAAAAAAACAUGCGCCAUUCUCCCAUCCGCGCUCACGACCGCUCGCACCUCAUGUUUGCGGAUGAAUGUUCGUAAUUGAUGGAUCGACAUUUAUGCCCAGGUAAAGGACAUCAGCAAUCCGGCACAAUGAAAAGAAACAUAAAGUAAAAAACAAAACAAAAACAGGCAUAAAGUUGGCUUGACAUUGGACAUUCGAGAGUCUCAAAUUUAGGGACUGUCUCUAAAGUUACAUGUGAUAUUGUUAUACACUUUUCUAACGUCAGUAGCAUUUGAAGAGAAUGGCUUACAGUCAUAAAAACAACUGUAAUUGUUUAUCUAGGUGAAUUUAAAUUCCCAUUCUUCAGUGUCUCUUCCAUCGCAUCGCUGCUUGCAAAUCAAACUGUUGCAGUUUGUUUCAGAACAUCUGAAAUCCGCAUCUUAAAUAAGUGAAUACUCUCUUAAUUCAUAUCGCUGUGCAUGUUGCCUGGUGGUUAGCAUAAUUUUGCAUCGGUUGCCGGAACGAAUAUUAAGCAUAUUAGCAGCAGCAUUUAUACAUCUGUGUUCAUACACCUGGAGCAAUACGCAGCUAGAGCAUGCAAUUGCUCUAAGGACACGCCGAUAAGGCCAUGAGAACAGGGUCAGAUGAUACCAGCAUUCUAGUGUAAGCGUUUCAACAGGGGUUCCCUGUAUUUAGCAGCGAAAUCUCAAUGUCACUGAUGUUUAUUUCUAAGGUUGAUGACACAUUAGCUGUGUGAGUGUUUCAGAUGCACACAGCUUCAAAAGCACGCAUUUAUCUCUCUAUGGCUUCUAUAUAUAGGCUUAUAAGUACGUGAUUUCAAUAGCCACGUUUUACAUGUAUUUUAUUUUUUUUCAUUCAGAUUUAAAGAUUCGGUGGACUGUUUACAUGAGACGUUAUCUAAUCCAAUAAGGUGUUUACAUGUGCUCGUGCUUUCGAUUUUGGGACAUACCAAGUAGCCUACGAUGACAUGCAAAUUACCAGAGAAGAAGAGAAGAAUAAACACCAACGGUUGCAUCAAUAUUUUUAAUAACUGCUGGCACUUGCUUGGAAUUAACAGACUAAUAUUUGAACCUCUAGUGUUCAUUCGUGCGCUCAGUCAUGUGGCCCGAACACGAUCACAUACACACUGGCCAUCUUCUAUCAUACCACACCAGUGGUGUAGUCGGGGCCAUACGCACUUGUUUUGUUGCUUCGCAAAGUCUGUAAUUUACUGCAGCAUUUCUUCAUUGGAAGCAGUCUCUAUCACAUUCUGUUUACAAGUCAUGUAAUUGUGAAUUAUAAUUCUGUAUGCUUAUAAUGGUUCUGUUCUGUAUCCCAGGGGGGUUUGUCUUGCUGCUCGCCCCGCUCUGUCCAAGCAUGGCUGCAUGGACAGGCGUGUGGAGUGUUGCCCAGAACAUAACCUUACCGCCAACACUAACUGUAUGCAAUUAUAAUUGUCAUAAAUAUACUUGACGGAAGUGGUCCUGAUUGAACUCCCUUUUCUGUCCAAGAUACUAGAAAAGUAUCCUCACAAUUAUAUUCCUUCUUAGAGAAAAAUGGUAUUUGUGAGGAUUUCCAGUUAGGAUUUAGACUAUAUCAAAGUGGGAGAGUGGGAGAAGCAAGUGAAGUGAAGUGAGUAUCAUAGUACUGAGUAGUAAAACUCAAUUUUUCCAUCUAAAAAUAUAUGUCUAAAUUACGGCCUAUGCUCUCAAUGUCAAAUGCAGAAAUGUUAAUCCAUGCAUUUAUGACCUCAAUGUUAGAUUAUUGUAAUGAUUUAUUGGGUGAUUGUUCUGCACGCUUAGUAAACAAACUACAGCUAGUCCAAAAAACAGCAGCAAGAGUUCUUACUAGAACCAGGAAGUAUCACCAUAUUAGCCCGGUCCUGUCAUCGCUGCACUGGCUCCCUAUCAAAUAUUGUAUAGAUUUUAAAAUAUUGCUUAUUACUUAUAAGUCCCUGAAUGGUUUAGCACCUCAGUAUUUGAAUGAGCUCUUGUUACCGUAUUUUCCGCACUAUAAGGUGCACUUUAAUUAAGCCUUUAAUUUUCUCAAAAAAAUGACAGUGCACCUUAUAAUCCGGAGCGCCUUAUAUAUGGAUCAAGGUGCUCAAGGCGUCUUUAUCUGACUGUUUUGUUGACAUUCCCUUUAGCACAGCUCCAUCUAGUGGAUGCAUAACGCAAAACCAGUCAAACGUUUGACUGCAGUAUCUUCUAUUCUAUGCGCCUUAUAAUCCAGUGCGCCCUUUAUAUGAAAACAGUUCUAAAAUAGGCAAUUCAUUGAAGGUGCGCCUUAUAAUCCGGUGCGCCUUAUAGUGUGGAAAAUACGGUACAUAAUCCUCCACGUCCACUGCGUUCUCAAAACUCAGGCAAUUUGAUAAUACCUAGAAUAUCAAAAUCAACUGCGGGCGGCAGAUCCUUUCCCUAUUUGGAGUCUACUGCACCUAUUUGGAGUCUACUGCGUCUACUGUGUCUACCUCCAUGUCCACUGCAUUCUCAAAACUCAGGCAAUUUGAUAAUACCUAGAAUAUCAAAAUCAACAGCACCUAGAAAGGACCUCUACAGCCCUGAAAGACAGCGGAGACCAGGACAACUAGAGCCCCAGAUACAGAUCCCCUGUAAAGACCUUGUCUCAGAGGAGCACCAGGACAAGACCACAAAAAACAGAUGAAUCUUCUGCACAAUCUGACUUUGCUGCAGCCUGGAAUUGAAUUUGAGCCUGGUUUCAUCUGGUCAGAGGAGAACUGGCCCACCCAACUGAGCCUGGUUUCUCCUAAGGUUUUUUCUCUGUUCUGUCACCGAUGGAGUUUCGGUUCCUUGCCGCUGUCACCUCUGGCUUGCUUAGUUGGGGUCACUUCAUCUACAGCGAUUGCUAAUGAUUGCAGAGACACAAUUUAAACUGAACUGAGAUGAUAUCACUGAAUUAAAUUAUGAACUGCCUUUAAUUGUCAUUUUGAUUUGAUUUGAUUUGCCUUUAUUGUCUCCUGACGGAGAAAUUUGUCUUGGGCAUUCGGGAUAACAGAUGCACACAAUAUACAUAUAACACAACAUUUUGCAUAAUGAAUGUUGUUCAUUUGCUUUAAUGCAUUGUAUUUUGUUUAAAGCGCUAUAUAAAUGAACGUUCUUUAAAAAACAUUAAAUACAUUUACAGUGAGUUCAUUUCAAAACGUAGUCUUAGGCUACAGUCUACUCAUCAAAUAUUAAAAGAACACCUUUACACAAACCUUUACUCAUUCACCGUGACAUCCGGAGCGAGCAGCGGUCCACUUUGUCAUAUUGCUACAGUAUGACACAUUUGUAUGAUUGAGAGAAGGAGAGAGUCCAACCUUACCGUAUGCUUAGCUCAAAAUUUUUAUUUGUUUAUAGCUAACCCUAUAUUAUUAUAUGAUGCAAUUAUAUUUAUCCAUUAGAAUUAUAUAAUUAAAAUUCUUGUUCUGUUCUGAUAAAUUUGUUCAAUUUAAAGUAUUUGUUGUAAAGUGAAGGGAACUAAAAAUAUUAUUUUGGUACAUUAUAACAUUAUUACGCCAGCCAUUAUUAUUUCUAAAUGUAAUAAAAUGCAACUUAUACAUGACUUAUAUAUUUUUUUUCCUCUCACAAACUGAUUUUUUUUUUAGUGUGUUUAAAAAAUAAUGCAGCAAACCAAAAAUAGGCGAUUAAUCAAUUAAAAUUUGGUACUGUGGGUUAACAGUAAUUAUAAUUAUUAUAUUCUAAGGAACCCUAACCCUAAUAAGAUGGACCCUAAUCUAGGCUAUCCAAUUUUUUUUUUUUUUGCAUCUGAAAAUGACUUUUUGCAGCACAUUCACUUUGUGCUCUCUGGUGCAGAUCCGCCUCAUGCAUUGCUCAGCUGUGGACGAUUUAAAAAUAUUUGAUAUAAAGUUUGCUGUACGUUUUAAUAAGCGAAUUGUUAAUUAAAAAAAAAAAAAAAAAGUUGAAGAUUUUUCUAAUAAUAAUUUUUUUUGGAGAGCAAAACUACUCAAAGUAUUGACUCAUAUUGGUUCACACAUCAGAAUAAACACUGUGUCUUUGCUGUCUGGAGCAAAGUGGAUCCACAUCCAUAAUAUUCCCCCCUAAAAAAAAACAACGCCAGUAGUUACAACGGAUUUAGAAUUCAAGCCACUUGAGACCCUAGAGUCCACUCAAAGAAACACUAUGAUGCCAAGGUAGAACUUUAAAUGUCUUUGAUGGAGUUUGUCCUUCUAAGCACUUUUCAGAAUAGGUACAGGAUGUUUCUGUCUUUGCUCUCAAAUAUGAAGUGGAUCCACAUCCGUAAUAUAUCUUGUUGUUGCUGUGUGAACUGUGUUAGCACUCCGUCUGGCUAUUUUUUAUCUUAAAAAUCUAUUUCCAUUUCCGUUUCUAUAAUGUACCUCUAUGAAUAUAUCCUCUAUCGUAUUCUACAACAAAAACAAUCAGCCCACCUCGUUAUCACUAGUUUUAUUUUGAUAUUUUGAGCUGGAGGCCGUUGAGAAGCAGAUUCGCGACCUGGAGGUGAGGCAGGCCCAGCUGAAAGUGCGGAGAGCUGUGCUAAAAUCCUCCCGGGCUGAUGCUCACAAGUCCGGGGUAAGUAUACAGUGCGCUGCUAACAGUCAAACCACGUCUACUCCCUAUGUCUCUCUGCAAAGGCCCGGUGCACCCAGGACAAGAACUUCCCAGAUGUCCUUCACUCGGGCGCUGGGACACCACAGACCCUGGGUGCAUCCACAGCGGAGGACGCGAGCCAGGCCCUGGGCGAUGACUUUUCCCCCUCCAGCCUUCGAGAUCUCCACCCGGAACCGCUUCGCUCCCCUCCGUGAGACGAGAGCCCCAGAGCGAUUGUGCUUCACGCCGGGAUUAAUGACACCACGCUGCGACAGAUGGAGAUGCAUAAAAAGGGACUUCAGGAGCCUAAUCGAGAUGGUUCCCAGCAAGACUGGGUAAUUUAAUAAUUGGGACAGUUAAUAACUGGAAUUUUUUCUGGGAGCGUCCUAGGCUUUUUCGCGCUGAUGGCCUGCCCCCCAGCAGAGUCGGAGCAGAGCUGCUCUCUGACAACAUCUCCAGGACACUUCGCUCCAUGUGACUACUCCUAAAAGAGGUGCUUCCAGAAGUCAAGACCACAGGAAACAGAUGAUUCUUCUGCACAAUCUGACUUUGCUGCAGCUUGGAAUUGAACUACUGGUUUCCGUCUGCUUAGAGGAGAACUGGUCCCCCAACUGAGCCUGGUUACUCCCAAGGUUUUUUUUCUCCAUUCUGUCACCGAUGGAGUUUCGGUUCCUUGCCGCUGUCGCCUCUGGCUUGCUUAGUUGGGGUCACUUCAUCUACAGCGAUAUCAUUGACUUGAUUAAAAAUAAAUGCACAGACACUAUUUAAACUGAACAGAGAUGACAUAACUGAAUUCAAUGAUGAACUGCCUUUAACUGUAAUUUUGCAUUAUUGACACACUGUUUUCCUAAUGAAUGUUGUUCAGUUGCUUUUGAUGCAAUGUAUUUUGUUUAAAAGAGCUAUAUAAAUAAAGGUGAUUUGACUUGA
Carassius gibelio (silver crucian carp) is the source of this 9074-nucleotide long non-coding RNA. RefSeq lists it as uncharacterized. The transcript has 2 exons. Lineage: Eukaryota; Metazoa; Chordata; Actinopteri; Cypriniformes; Cyprinidae. The record is from RefSeq and is a predicted model, not a curated record.